Molecule: long non-coding RNA, 2682 nt
Organism: Neofelis nebulosa (Clouded leopard)
Lineage: Eukaryota; Metazoa; Chordata; Mammalia; Carnivora; Felidae
Exons: 4
Source: RefSeq, a predicted model, not a curated record
UAAGGGGCACGAAGGAAUCUACUGAAAUCAUUGUUGCACUAUAUGCUAACUAAUUUGGAUGUAAAUUAAAAUAAAUCAAAUUAAAAAAAUUUUUUUACAGUUAAUCAUAGUCUAGAGCAGUUGUAUUAUUUUGUUGUCUUCCCAACAGCAAGAGUUGGUUCCCAACCAUUGUGAUUUCAUUCCUCUUUGUUUCUGUCAUAACCAAUUACUAUACCCUCCUUUCAAUAUACCCAGUAGUUUUGGAUUACUCACAGCUUCUGCUUAAACACAUUUUCUGUUUACUCAAGAAUGUGCAUUCUCCUUGUCAUCACUUUUGCCUUUCUCUGUAUAUCUUCAACUUCUGUUUCACAACAACUGAGUAGACCUGUACGUGUCUCAGAUGCAGAUCUCCUCCUAGAAGAGGACCUGCUUGGUGUAAUUAACCUUCAGUGUCCCUGUUCAAGAGUGCUUUCCUGCCAUCCCGUCUUUUAUAUUACUGACCAGCCUUUAUGUAACUACUCUAGACCAAUCAUCUGGGACCAGAAGGGAACCCCAUUCAACAGUGGACUGGAUUAGACUGGCUUCUUCACAAGGCAGGAGACAUGGCUACAGGCCUCUCUGGGCUCAUAUCCUAACCACUUUAUAACCAGCAAGCAAAACUGAUGCUUUCAGGUUCUGUUUGAAAAAAUCCUAGGGGAAGGACUCCGUGACUUACACUGGCUCAUUACCCUUUCCUUAGGCCAGUCUCAGCUGUACAGAACAAAAGUGUGUAUUAGGACAUAAUGCCUUCAAUAAUCUGAGGGAGAAAUUAUUUGUCCUAGAAGUUUAUAACCAACCAAGCUAUCAGCCAUGUGUGAAUGCAAGGACUCAAAAAGUUUAUGUCUGCCAUGCACCUCUCAGGAACUGCUGGAUAAUGUACUCCAGAAGAACAAGAAAAAGGCACACAACUGAUAGAGUAAAUCCAAAAUAGAAAAACGUCAAAAGUACAUUCUAAGGCAAAGGGUGAGACUAACAUCUACUCGGGAGCCAUAUAAAGCAACCUAUGCUCUUCAUAUUUUCCCAAGAGUUGAAGAAAAAUUUUUAUUAGCAGAAGCUCUCUGGUUUCAUACCACAGAAGUCUUCCCAGCCUACUUUGUGGAAGUAGAUAAUCCAGCCUCCUUCUCCUGUUUCAGUUUUCAAAAAAGGUAAAAAUGUCUAUCACAAAUGGUAUAUCUCAAAAUUUUGUAUCUAAACUUGAAACUCUCAGGAAUACUCUUAGCCAUCUAGUCUCUCAGCACAAAAUGUGCUCUUGGACCACUUGGAUCGCUAUCAACUGGGGAGCUUACUACAAAUACACGUUUCUGGAACCUCCCAGAUUUACCGAAUCAGAAUUUCUAGAGAGGCCCAAGGAAUAGAAUUUCUUCUGUCAACCCAGAUGAUUCUUUUCUGAUACCAAUAGAAUUCUAAUUUAGCUGGCACAAAAACCAACACUCAGAUCAAUGGAACAGAAUAGAGAACCCAGAAAUGGACCCAGAAAAGUAUGGCCAACUAAUCUUUGACAAAGCAGGAAAGAAUAUCCGAUGGAAUAAAGACAGUCUCUUCACCAAGUGGUGCUGGGAAAACUGGACAGCAACAUGCAGAAAAAUGAACCUGGACCACUUUCUUACACCGUACACAAAAAUAAACUCAAAAUGGAUGAAAGACCUCAAUGUAAGACAGGAAGCCAUCAAAAUCCUCGAGGAGAAAGCAGGCAAAAACCUCUUUGAUCUUGCCCGCAGCAACUUCUUACUCAACAAGUCUCUGGAGGCAGGGAAACAAAAGCAAAAAUGAACUAUUGGGACCUCAUCAAAAUAAAAAGUUUCUACACAGCAAAGGAAACAAUCAGCAAAACUAAAAGGCAACCAACAAAAUGGGAGAAGAUAUUUGCAAACGACAUAUCAGAUAAAGGGUUAGUAUCCAAAAUCUAUAAAGAACUUACCAAACUCAACACCCAAAAAACAAAUAAUCCCAUGAAGUAAUGGGCAAAAGACAUGAAUAGACACUUCUCCAAAAAAGACAUCCAGAUGGCCAACCGACACAUGAAAAAAUGCUCAGCAUCACUCAUCAUCAGGGAAAUACAAAUCAAAACCACAAUGAGAUACCACCUCACACCUGUCAGAAGGGCUCACAUUAACACCUCAGGCAACAACAGAUGUUGACGAGGAUGCAGAGAAAGGGGAUCUCUUUUGCACUGCUGGUGGGAAUGCAAACUGGUGCAGCCACUCUGGAAAACAGUAUGGAGGUUCCUCAAAAAACUAAAAAUAGAACUACCCUACAGCCCAGCAAUUGCACUACUAGGCAUUUAUCCAAGGAACACAGGUGUGCUAUUUCAAAGGGACACAUGCACCCCCAUGUUUAUAGCAGCACUAUCAACAAUAGCCAAAGUAUGGAAAGAGCCCAAAUGUCCAUCGAUGGAUGAAUGGAUAAAGAAGAUGUGGUAUGUAUAGACAAUGGAGUCUUACUCAGCAAUCAAAAAGAAUGAAAUCUUGCCUUUUGCAACUACAUGGAUGGAACUAGAGGGUAUUACGCUAAGCGAAAUUAGUCAGAGAAAGACAAAUAUCAUAAGGCUUCACUCACACGAGGACUUUAAGAUACAAAACAGAUGAACAUAAGGGAAGGGAAGCAAAAAUAAUAUAAAAACAGGGAGGGGGACAAAACAUAAGAGACUCUUACAUAUGGAGAACA